RNAcentral lists this ribosomal RNA (413 nucleotides) under uncultured bacterium. Its description in RNAcentral is "bacterial SSU rRNA". It matches the Rfam family "Bacterial small subunit ribosomal RNA", at positions 505 to 916 of the family's 1533-position model. The record is from RNAcentral.
GUGCCAGCCGCCGCGGUAAGACGUAGGGGGCUAGCGUUGUCCGGAAUUACUGGGCGUAAAGGGCACGUAGGCGGGAAUUUAAGUCAGGUGUGAAAGACCGCAGCUCAACUGCGGGGUUGCACUUGAAACUGGAUUUCUUGAGGGCAGGAGAGGAAAGUGGAAUUCCUGGUGUAGCGGUGAAAUGCGUAGAAAUCAGGAGGAACACCGGUGGCGAAGGCGACUUUCUGGACUGACCCUGACGCUGAGGUGCGAAAGCGUGGGUAGCAAACAGGAUUAGAUACCCUGGUAGUCCACGCUGUAAACGAUGGAUACUAGGUGUAGGAGGUAUCGACCCCUUCUGUGCCGCAGCUAACGCAAUAAGUAUCCCGCCUGGGGAGUACGGUCGCAAGGCUGAAACUCAAAUGAAUUGGCGG